This 704-nucleotide long non-coding RNA is filed under the name Homo sapiens (human). Its description in RNAcentral is "HSALNT0142154". Lineage: Eukaryota; Metazoa; Chordata; Mammalia; Primates; Hominidae. The record is from RNAcentral.
GAAUCUCAGUGGUUGAAAAACAAGGACCUGUUUCUUACCCCUGCUUCAUGAACAUCUUGAGUCACAUGUGGACACUACUUACCUCAAGUUAGAGGGGAAGAAAAAAUGUUUGGUUGCUAUAUCAAGUUCACUAUUCAUUCUUCUGAAAUAUCUACUGUGAUAGCAGUCUCCUCCAGUGUGUUUUCAUAACAGGUUUAUUUACCUGCUUUAUUACAUGACUGGUAAUAUUUGAUUGGAUGUUCGACAUUGUGGAAUCUAUGUCAUUGACACCUGGGCAUUUUUGUACUUUGGUUUUGAGAGGAAAACCACACGAAUCUGGGUUUCCUUAUCACUAAUCUGGGUUUUUGAGAGGAAGACCACAGAGUUCCUAAGAAUAACUAGAAUGUGCUGGGAAUGUAACAACUUGCGACAGGGAGAGACCCGUACAACAGCCUGCCGUACAACAGCCUGAGCUCUGUUUCAGUCCCCCACAGGAAGCAGGAUAUCCUUCACUACUUCUACGAGGGCAGUCAUGUUACCCUGGGGUAUAAAAACUGGGGUGGGCGGCUUUCCAGGAUUCUUCAUCUGUGUUGCAAGUGGUAUAUGCACAGAUGACAUUCUGUCCACUCCAGGCAGCUAUCCUGAGGCUUGUGAAACCAGCUCCUAACCAUCCUAGAUUUCUGUUGUCCUUUGCUGCCUAUGUAUAAAUAAUAAACCACUUCAUG